GACGAACGCUGGCGGCGUGCCUAACACAUGCAAGUCGAACGGGGAAUAGCAAUAUUCCUAGUGGCGAACGGGUGAGUAACGCGUAGACAACCUGCCUUCUGGACGGGGACAACGUUCCGAAAGGAGCGCUAAUACCGGAUGAGGUACCUUGGGUGCAUACCUGAGGUAAGAAAGAUGGCCUCUAUAUAUAAGCUAUCGCUAGAAGAUGGGUCUGCGUCUGAUUAGCUAGUUGGUGAGGUAACGGCUCACCAAGGCGACGAUCAGUAGCCGGUCUGAGAGGAUGAACGGCCACACUGGGACUGAGACACGGCCCAGACUCCUACGGGAGGCAGCAGUGGGGAAUCUUCCGCAAUGGACGAAAGUCUGACGGAGCAACGCCGCGUGAGUGAAGAAGGUUUUCGGAUUGUAAAGCUCUGUCUUCUAGGACGAAUGUGCUCUAUGUAAAUAAUGUAGAGUAAUGACGGUACUAGAGGAGGAAGCCACGGCUAACUACGUGCCAGCCGCCGCGGUAA
This 512-nucleotide ribosomal RNA is filed under the name uncultured bacterium. RNAcentral describes it as "partial 16S ribosomal RNA". It matches the Rfam family "Bacterial small subunit ribosomal RNA", at positions 28 to 523 of the family's 1533-position model. The record is from RNAcentral.